CGUGUAGGCGGCCUUUUAAGUCUGAUGUGAAAGCCCGGGGCUUACCUCCGGAAGUGCAUUGGAGACUGGGAGGCUAGAGUACCGGAGAGGAGGGUGGAAUUCCUGGUGUAGCGGUGAAAUGCGUAGAUAUCAGGAGGAACACCGGUGGCGAAGGCGGCCCUCUGGACGGAUACUGACGCUGAGACGCGAAAGCGUGGGGAGCAAACAGGAUUAGAUACCCUGGUAGUCCACGCUGUAAACGAUGGGCACUAGGUGUUCGGGGUAUUGACCCCCUGAGUGCCGCAGCUAACGCAUUAAGUGCCCCGCCUGGGGACCACGGCCGCAAGGUUAAA
RNAcentral lists this ribosomal RNA (332 nucleotides) under uncultured bacterium. Its description in RNAcentral is "bacterial SSU rRNA". It matches the Rfam family "Bacterial small subunit ribosomal RNA", at positions 568 to 898 of the family's 1533-position model. The record is from RNAcentral.